RNAcentral lists this ribosomal RNA (332 nucleotides) under uncultured bacterium. Its description in RNAcentral is "partial 16S ribosomal RNA". It matches the Rfam family "Bacterial small subunit ribosomal RNA", at positions 338 to 667 of the family's 1533-position model. The record is from RNAcentral.
CCUACGGGUGGCAGCAGUGAGGAAUAUUGGUCAAUGGCCGGAAGGCUGAACCAGCCAUGCCGCGUGAAGGUCAGUGCCCUAUGGGCGUUAAACUUCUUUUGUGCGGGAGCAAUAAUGGUCACGUGUGGCCAGACGAGAGUACCGUAAGAAUAAGCAUCGGCUAACUCCGUGCCAGAAGCCGCGGUAAUACGGGGGGUGCAAGCGUUAUCCGGAUAUAAUUGGUUUAAAGGGGUCGUAGGCUGUUAGGUAAGUCAGCGGUGGAAUUCCCCCGCUCAACGCUGGGAAGUGCCAUUGAUACUGGCAUGCUGGAAUGCCGAUGCCGGGGGUAGAAU